GAUGAACGCUGGCGGCGUGCCUAAUACAUGCAAGUCGAGCGAACGGACGAGAAGCUUGCUUCUCUGAUGUUAGCGGCGGACGGGUGAGUAACACGUGGAUAACCUACCUAUAAGACUGGGAUAAUUUCGGGAAACCGGAGCUAAUACCGGAUAAUAUUUUGAACCGCAUGGUUCAAAAGUGAAAGACGGUCUUGCUGUCACUUAUAGAUGGAUCCGCGCUGCAUUAGCUAGUUGGUAAGGUAACGGCUUACCAAGGCAACGAUGCAUAGCCGACCUGAGAGGGUGAUCGGCCACACUGGAACUGAGACACGGUCCAGGCUCCUAGGGGAGGCAGCAGUAGGGAAUCUUGCGCAAUGGGCGAAAGCCUGACGGAGCAACGCCGCGUGAGUGAUGAAGGUCUUCGGAUCGUAAAACUCUGUUAUUAGGGAAGAACAUAUGUGUAAGUAACUGUGCACAUCUUGACGGUACCUAAUCAGAAAGCCACGGCUAACUACGUG
RNAcentral lists this ribosomal RNA (497 nucleotides) under uncultured bacterium. Its description in RNAcentral is "partial 16S ribosomal RNA". It matches the Rfam family "Bacterial small subunit ribosomal RNA", at positions 28 to 507 of the family's 1533-position model. The record is from RNAcentral.